UCCCCGUUACCGGGGCAGUCUGAUUAGAAAAAUCCAACUAAUCAUAGGGGUUGCGCUCGUUGAUGGACUUAACCAAACAUCUCACGACACGAGCUGACGACGGCCAUGCAGCACCUGUCACUUGGUUCCCGAAGGCACUCUCGGCUUUCGCCAAAAUUCCAAGGAUGUCAAACCCUGGUAAGGUUCUUCGCUUAGCAUCGAAUUAAACCACAUGCUCCACCGCUUGUGCGGGCCCCCGUCAAUUCCUUUGAGUUUCAGCCUUGCGGCCGUACUCCCCAGGCGGGGCACUUAUCGCGUUAGCUGCGGCACCGAAGGGGUCGUUCCCCCCGGCACCUAGUGCCCAUCGUUUACGGCGUGGACUAC
This 363-nucleotide unclassified non-coding RNA is filed under the name uncultured bacterium. RNAcentral describes it as "contains 16S-23S intergenic spacer region". The record is from RNAcentral.